GACGAACGCUGGCGGCGUGCUUAACACAUGCAAGUCGAACGGAAAGGCCCUGCGCUUGUGGGGUGCUCGAUUGCCGAACGGGUGAGUAACACGUGUGUAACCUGCCCUUGUCUUUGGGAUAACUUCAGGAAACUGGGGCGAAUACCGGAUAUGAUCUCCUGCUGCAUGUUGGGGGUUGGAAAGUUCCGGCGGUUGUGGAUGUACUCGCGGAUUAUCAGCUUGUUGGUGGGGUAGUGGCUUACCAGGGCUGUGACGGGUACCCGGCCUGAGAGGGUGACCGGCCACAUUUGGUAUGAGAGGCGGCCGAGACUCAUACGGGAGGCAGCGGGGGAGAAUAUCGGAGCAAGGGCGGAAGAGUGAUGAAGCAACGCGGCGCGCGGGAUGACGGCAUUCGGGUUGAAAACCGCUUUCGGUUGUGACGAAGCGCGAGUGAGUGUAAUGGGUAAAGAAGAACCGGAAAACUACG
RNAcentral lists this ribosomal RNA (466 nucleotides) under uncultured bacterium. RNAcentral's name for it is "partial 16S ribosomal RNA". It matches the Rfam family "Bacterial small subunit ribosomal RNA", at positions 28 to 505 of the family's 1533-position model. The record is from RNAcentral.